RNAcentral lists this ribosomal RNA (468 nucleotides) under uncultured bacterium. RNAcentral describes it as "partial 16S ribosomal RNA". It matches the Rfam family "Bacterial small subunit ribosomal RNA", at positions 28 to 507 of the family's 1533-position model. The record is from RNAcentral.
GACGAACGCUGGCGGCGUGCUUAACACAUGCAAGUCGAACGGAAAGGCCCUGCUUUUGUGGGGUGCUCGAGUGGCGAACGGGUGAGUAACACGUGAGUAACCUGCCCUUGACUUUGGGAUAACUUCAGGAAACUGGGGCUAAUACCGGAUAGGAGCUCCUGCUGCAUGGUGGGGGUUGGAAAGUUUCGGCGGUUGGGGAUGGACUCGCGGCUUAUCAGCUUGUUGGUGGGGUAGUGGCUUACCAAGGCUUUGACGGGUAGCCGGCCUGAGAGGGUGACCGGACACAUUGGGACUGAGAUACGGCCCAGACUCAUACGGGAGGCAGCAGUGGGGAAUAUUGCACAAUGGGCGGAAGCCUGAUGCAGCAACGCCGCGUGCGGGAUGACGGCCUUCGUGUUGUAAACCGCUUUCGCCUGUGACGAAGCGUGAGUGACGGUAAUGGGUAAAGAAGCACCGGCUAACUACGUG